This 253-nucleotide ribosomal RNA is filed under the name uncultured bacterium. RNAcentral's name for it is "partial 16S ribosomal RNA". It matches the Rfam family "Bacterial small subunit ribosomal RNA", at positions 524 to 776 of the family's 1533-position model. The record is from RNAcentral.
UACGUAGGGUGCGAGCGUUAAUCGGAAUUACUGGGCGUAAAGCGUGCGCAGGCGGUUUUGAAAGACAGGCGUGAAAUCCCCGGGCUCAACCUGGGAAUGGCGAUGGAUACUGGCGGGCUAGAGUGCGGUAGAGGAGAGUGGAAUUCCCGGUGUAGCAGUGAAAUGCGUAGAGAUCGGGAGGAACAUCAGUUGCGAAGGCGGCUCUCUGGACCAGCACUGACACUGAGGCACGAAAGCGUGGGGAGCAAACAGG